CCUACGGGUGGCAGCAGUGAGGAAUAUUGGUCAAUGGUCGGGAGACUGAACCAGCCAAGCCGCGUGAGGGAUGAAGGUACAGAGUAUCGUAAACCUCUUUUGUCAGGGAACAAAGGCGGGGACGUGUCCCCGGAUGAGUGUACCUGAAGAAAAAGCAUCGGCUAACUCCGUGCCAGCAGCCGCGGUAAUACGUAGGGGGCAAGCGUUAUCCGGAUUUACUGGGUGUAAAGGGAGCGUAGACGGUUAUGUAAGUCUGGAGUGAAAGCCCGGGGCCCAACCCCGGGACUGCUUUGGAAACUGUGUAACUGGAGUACAGGAGGGGCAGGCGGAAUUCCUGGUGUAGCGGUGAAAUGCGUAGAUAUCAGGAGGAACACCGGCGGCGAAGGCGGCCUGCUGGACUGAAACUGACGUUGAGGCUCGAAAGCGUGGGGAGCAAACAGGAUUAGAUACCCGGGUAGUC
RNAcentral lists this ribosomal RNA (460 nucleotides) under uncultured bacterium. RNAcentral describes it as "partial 16S ribosomal RNA". It matches the Rfam family "Bacterial small subunit ribosomal RNA", at positions 338 to 795 of the family's 1533-position model. The record is from RNAcentral.